UACAGAGGGUGCGAGCGUUGUUCGGAAUUAUUGGGCGUAAAGAGCGUGUAGGCGGCUGGGUAGGUCCGUUGUGAAAACUCGAGGCUCAACCUCGAGACGCCGAUGGAAACCCUCCAGCUAGAGUCCGGAAGAGGAGAGUGGAAUUCCUGGUGUAGCGGUGAAAUGCGCAGAUAUCAGGAAGAACACCCGUGGCUAAGGCGGCUCUCUAGUACGGUACUGACGCUGAGACGCGAAAGCGUGGGGAGCGAACAGG
This 253-nucleotide ribosomal RNA is filed under the name uncultured bacterium. RNAcentral's name for it is "partial 16S ribosomal RNA". It matches the Rfam family "Bacterial small subunit ribosomal RNA", at positions 524 to 776 of the family's 1533-position model. The record is from RNAcentral.